RNAcentral lists this transfer RNA (85 nucleotides) under Rhodococcus sp. (in: high G+C Gram-positive bacteria). RNAcentral describes it as "tRNA-Leu". It matches the Rfam family "tRNA". Rfam says of the family: Transfer RNA (tRNA) molecules are approximately 80 nucleotides in length. Their secondary structure includes four short double-helical elements and three loops (D, anti-codon, and T loops). Lineage: Bacteria; Bacillati; Actinomycetota; Actinomycetes; Mycobacteriales; Nocardiaceae. The record is from RNAcentral.
GCGCGAGUGGCGAAAUUGGUAUACGCGCAGCACUUAGGAUGCUGUGCCUUAGGGCGUGGGGGUUCGAGUCCCCCCUCGCGCACCA